ACGUAGGGUCCAAGCGUUAAUCGGAAUUACUGGGCGUAAAGCGUGCGCAGGCGGUUGGGCAAGACCGAGGUGAAAUCCCCCGGCUUAACCGGGGAAUUGCAUUGGUGACUGCACAGCUAGAGUGUGCUAGAGGGGGGUAGAAUGUCACGUGUAGCAGUGAAAUGCGUAGAGAUGUGGAGGAAUACCGAUGGCGAAGGCAGCCCCCUGGGAUAACACUGACGCUCAUGCACGAAAGCGUGGGGAGCAAACAG
RNAcentral lists this ribosomal RNA (251 nucleotides) under uncultured prokaryote. RNAcentral's name for it is "partial 16S rRNA". It matches the Rfam family "Bacterial small subunit ribosomal RNA", at positions 525 to 775 of the family's 1533-position model. The record is from RNAcentral.